Molecule: non-coding RNA, 99 nt
Organism: Crucibulum laeve
Lineage: Eukaryota; Fungi; Basidiomycota; Agaricomycetes; Agaricales; Nidulariaceae
Source: the annotation of a GenBank genome assembly
UCUCUGUUAGUAUAUCGGUUAGUACACGCGCCUGUCAUAUAUAUUGCUUAAAGCAUCCUACGGCCGCGCGAAAGCUGGGUUCGACUCCCAGACAGAGAG